Molecule: unclassified non-coding RNA, 203 nt
Filed under: plant metagenome
Description: partial contains small subunit ribosomal RNA, internal transcribed spacer 1, and 5.8S ribosomal RNA
Source: RNAcentral
UUUCCGUAGGUGAACCUGCGGAAGGAUCAUUAUCGUAGGGCUUCGGCCCUGUCGAGAUAGAACCCUUGCCUUUUUGAGUACCUUUCGUUUCCUCGGCAGCCUCGGCUGCCAAUGGGGACCCCAAAAAACACUUUGCAGUACCUGUAACAGUCUGAACAAACAAACAAAAAUUAAAACUUUCAACAACGGAUCUCUUGGUUCUG